RNAcentral lists this ribosomal RNA (492 nucleotides) under uncultured bacterium. Its description in RNAcentral is "partial 16S ribosomal RNA". It matches the Rfam family "Bacterial small subunit ribosomal RNA", at positions 29 to 507 of the family's 1533-position model. The record is from RNAcentral.
AGUGAACGCUGGCGGUAGGCCUAACACAUGCAAGUCGAACGGCAGCACAGUAAGAGCUUGCUCUUACGGGUGGCGAGUGGCGGACAGGUGAGGAAUACAUCGGAAUCUACUUUUUCGUGGGGGAUAACGUAGGGAAACUUACGCUAAUACCGCAUACGACCUACGGGUGAAAGCAGGGGAUCUUCGGACCUUGCGCGAUUGAAUGAGCCGAUGUCGGAUUAGCUAGUUGGCGGGGUAAAGGCCCACCAAGGCGACGACCCGUAGCUGGUCUGAGAGGAUGAUCAGCCACACUGGAACUGAGACACGGUCCAGACUCCUACGGGAGGCAGCAGUGGGGAAUAUUGGACAAUGGGCGCAAGCCUGAUCCAGCCAUACCGCGUGGGUGAAGAAGGCCUUCGGGUUGUAAAGCCCUUUUGUUGGGAAAGAAAAGCAGCAGGUUAAUACCCCGCUGUUCUGACGGUACCCAAAGAAUAAGCACCGGCUAACUUCGUG